RNAcentral lists this ribosomal RNA (375 nucleotides) under uncultured bacterium. RNAcentral's name for it is "bacterial SSU rRNA". It matches the Rfam family "Bacterial small subunit ribosomal RNA", at positions 523 to 898 of the family's 1533-position model. The record is from RNAcentral.
AUACGUAGGGGGCGAGCGUUGUCCGGAAUUAUUGGGCGUAAAGGGCGUGUAGGCGGCUUCUUAAGUCCGGUGUGAAAGCCCACGGCUCAACCGUGGAGGGUCACUGGAAACUGGGGAGCUUGAGAGCAGGAGAGGAGAGCGGAAUUCCACGUGUAGCGGUGAAAUGCGUAGAUAUGUGGAGGAACACCAGUGGCGAAGGCGGCUCUCUGGCCUGACUCUGACGCUGAGGCGCGAAAGCGUGGGGAGCAAACAGGAUUAGAUACCCUGGUAGUCCACGCCGUAAACGAUGAGUGCUAGGUGUUAGUGGGGUUACCCAUUAGUGCCGAAGGAAACCCAAUAAGCACUCCGCCUGGGGAGUACGGCCGCAAGGCUGAA